UUAUAUGGUCAAGCAUGAAAGUGCAUCCGGUGGAUGCCUUGGCAGCCAAAGGCGAUGAAGGACGUCGUAACCUGCGAUAAGCCUCGGGGAGCCGGUAAACAGGCCCUGAUCCGGGGAUUUCCGAAUGGGGAAACCCACCGCUUUCGGGCGGUAUCCAUACCUGAAUCCAUAGGGUAUGGAGGCGAACCCGGGGAACUGAAAUAUCUAAGUACCCGGAGGAAAAGAAAUCAACCGAGAUUCCCUCAGUAGCGACGAGCGAACGGGGAACAGCCCUUAAGCCCAUGAAUGGUUAGUGGAAGCAUCUGGAAAGUUGCGCGAUACAGGGUGAUAGCCCCGUACACGAAAACGAUCCAUGGGUGAAAUCGAGUAGGACGGGGCACGUGAAACCCUGUCUGAACUGUCUUCGGACGAGGGGGGACCAUCCUCCAAGGCUAAAUACUCUUGGCUGACCGAUAGUGAACCAGUACCGUGAGGGAAAGGCGAAAAGAACCCCUGUGAGGGGAGUGAAAUAGAACCUGAAACCGGAUGCAUACAAGCAGUGGGAGCCUACCGCCUCCCGGCUUUGGGAAUAUCCUUCGGGAGAAGACCCGUCAAGCUGGGACGCAAGGUGGGUGACUGCGUACCUUUUGUAUAAUGGGUCAGCGAGUUACUUUUACUGGCAAGGUUAACCGUUUAGGGGAGCCGUAGGGAAACCGAGUCUUAACAGGGCGUUCAACCUCGCUUGCGAGGCAGUCGGUAGGAGUAGGCCCGAAACCGAGCGAUCUAGCCAUGGGCAGGGUGAAGGUUGAGUAACAUCAACUGGAGGCCCGAACCCACUAAUGUUGAAAAAUUAGGGGAUGACCUGUGGCUCGGAGUGAAAGGCUAAUCAAGCUCGGAGAUAGCUGGUUCUCCUCGAAAUCUAUUUAGGUAGAGCCUCUCGUAUCACCGCCGGGGGUAGAGCACUGUUUGGGCUAGGGGGUCACCUAGACUUACCAACCCCAUGCAAACUCCGAAUACCGGUGAGUGCAAUCGAGGGAGACACACGGCGGGUGCUAACGUCCGUCGUGGAAAGGGAAACAACCCAGACCGCCAGCUAAGGUCCCCAAGUGACAGUUAAGUGGGAAACGAUGUGGGAAGGCCCAGACAGCCAGGAGGUUGGCUUAGAAGCAGCCAUCCUUUAAAGAAAGCGUAAUAGCUCACUGGUCGAGUCGGCCUGCGCGGAAGAUGUAACGGGGCUCAAACUGUCCACCGAAGCUGCGGAUGCCACGCCUUAGGGUGCGGCAUGGUAGAGGAGCGUUCUGUACGCCUGUGAAGGCGGACCGUGAGGUCCGUUGGAGGUAUCAGAAGUGCGAAUGCUGACAUGAGUAACGAUAAAGGAGGUGAAAAUCCUCCUCGCCGGAAGACCAAGGGUUCCUGCGCAACGCUCAUCGGCGCAGGGUGAGUCGGCCCCUAAGGCGAGGCCGAAAGGCGUAGUCGAUGGGAAGCAGGUUAACAUUCCUGCACCGAUCGGAGCUGCGAUGGGGUGACGAAGAAGGCUAGGCUGGCCUGGCGAUGGUGUCCAUUUUCGGAUGGCGGCCAGGUUUAAGCACGUAGGCUGGGGUCUUAGGCAAAUCCGGGACCUCAAGGCUGAGAUGUGAUGACGAACCGCUCCUAUACGAGCGGGAAGUGGUUGAUGCCCUGCUUCCAGGAAAAACCUCUAAGCUUUAAGGCUGCGAACGACCGUACCCUAAACCGACACAGGUGGUCGGGUAGAGAAUACCAAGGCGCUUGAGAGAACUCGGGUGAAGGAACUAGGCAAAAUGGCACCGUAACUUCGGGAGAAGGUGCGCCGCUGAUGGUGAUUGGACUUGCUCCUUGAGCUGUCGGCGGUCGAAGAUACCAGGUGGCUGCGACUGUUUACUAAAAACACAGCACUCUGCAAACUCGUAAGAGGACGUAUAGGGUGUGACGCCUGCCCGGUGCCGGAAGGUUAAUUGAUUGGGUUAGCGCUCGGACUUGUCCGUUCGCGAAGCUCAUGAUCGAAGCCCCGGUAAACGGCGGCCGUAACUAUAACGGUCCUAAGGUAGCGAAAUUCCUUGUCGGGUAAGUUCCGACCUGCACGAAUGGCGUAACGAUGGCCACACUGUCUCCACCCGAGACUCAGUGAAAUUGAAAUCGCGGUGAAGAUGCCGUGUACCCGCGGCUAGACGGAAAGACCCCGUGAACCUUUACUA
RNAcentral lists this ribosomal RNA (2192 nucleotides) under Gammaproteobacteria bacterium. RNAcentral's name for it is "partial 23S ribosomal RNA". It matches the Rfam family "Bacterial large subunit ribosomal RNA", at positions 1 to 2106 of the family's 2925-position model. Lineage: Bacteria; Pseudomonadati; Pseudomonadota; Gammaproteobacteria. The record is from RNAcentral.